AGGGGAAUAUUGCACAAUGGGCGCAAGCCUGAUGCAGCCAUGCCGCGUGUGUGAAGAAGGCCUUCGGGUUGUAAAGCACUUUCAGCGGGGAGGAAGGCGUUAAGGUUAAUAACCUUGGCGAUUGACGUUACCCGCAGAAGAAGCACCGGCUAACUCCGUGCCAGCAGCCGCGGUAAUACGGAGGGUGCAAGCGUUAAUCGGAAUUACUGGGCGUAAAGCGCACGCAGGCGGUCUGUCAAGUCGGAUGUGAAAUCCCCGGGCACAACCUGGGAACUGCAUUCGAAACUGGCAGGCUAGAGUCUUGUAGAGGGGGGUAGAAUUCCAGGUGUAGCGGUGAAAUGCGUAGAGAUCUGGAGGAAUACCGGUGGCGAAGGCGGCCCCCUGGACAAAGACUGACGCUCAGGUGCGAAAGCGUGGGGAGCAAACAGG
Molecule: ribosomal RNA, 429 nt
Filed under: Chloroflexota bacterium
Lineage: Bacteria; Bacillati; Chloroflexota
Description: Chloroflexi bacterium partial 16S ribosomal RNA
Rfam family: Bacterial small subunit ribosomal RNA
Source: RNAcentral